CGUUUUUAAUUUGCAUAAAUAGGAGAUUGCUCUUUAAGAUGAGGCAUUUAGAAUUCAGAUAAAACACAAGCGUGAGAGUUUGCGGACAAUAGUCAAGAAGUUGCAUACGGUGGAAAAAAGCAUUUGAAGGUUUAAUUAUUGAAAGAAACGGAUAACAAAAUGGUUUCAAAGCGGAUGCUUCUAGUGUUGAUCACGUGUAUGUUUGCAAUCUCAUCAUAUACCGAUGCGUUUAUUUCUAUUGGUGGAUUACCGUACCCAGGGCCUACCAUUGGCCCGUACUCUACAUCGAUGAAAGAAAUAUGCAAAGUAUUGGAUGCCAAAUGUCUUCGACUUUGUGCGUCUCUGGAUCUGAAUUAUUGGAAUUGUUACCGGCUUCACAAAGAAGCGAGCAAGGCUAGAAAAGAGCAAGAUGUUCUGGAACUUGAUUACUGAUGUUCUGAUGAAUUAUUUAAGACUCUUGCAAAAGCAUUGUACGUUCAAUCUUAUUCUAGAUAAAAAUUUACUCUCCUUCUUGGUGAUUGUAAAUUGUUCCUCUGGAAUUUCUAGAAUAACGGAUACAUAUUAACGCAUUGAGAAAAUAUGUUUAAAUGUAUUAAUUCUUUAAGUAGGUAAAUCAAACUA
This is a non-coding RNA of Rhopilema esculentum, 621 nucleotides long. Lineage: Eukaryota; Metazoa; Cnidaria; Scyphozoa; Rhizostomeae; Rhizostomatidae. The record is from RefSeq and is a predicted model, not a curated record.